AAAACUACUUGGCUCAUCUGGAUUACUUGUUUGGUAUCUUGCACUUCCCAGCACAAGAGCAUAGAACUUGAGGAGAAGGUAAAUAAUGAAGCGUGAAGAAAAUCUUCUGAUUAAUCAUUGGCAGAGAGUGGAUCAUACUAUGCACUGUUUGCUUGUGUACAGAUGUCUGAAGUUAGAAAAUGCUGGAGGACCUCAAGAAUACAUGUGAGAACUCGCUGAUAUCCUAGUGAACUUGUGAAACUGCAUGCCUGCAAGCCUUCCUUUGCUGCAAAGACCACAUGGGGACAACCAAAUCUGUCAAAUGCCAAUGCUAGCAAAGAGCUUCCAGCUCUGGUUUCUCAUUUAUUACAAUGUAGAUAAAUUGAGCACAUGUCCCACCAAGUGUAACACUCCUUGACUCCAGGCCUGUAUAUAGGGAAAAUGAGUGGGAUUUUUGCUGCUGAGAAAAUUACAAUUGUUGUAAAACAACUGAAAUAGUUUCUUAUAAAGUCUAAGUGCUGCUGUAUUUUAUCCAGAGUAGAAGCUUGAUUAACACACAUAUAUUUCAUUUUAUUCAAUAUGUGUUUAUGAAAAUCUUAAUGUUUGAAGCUGGGUAGUUCUGGGUCCAGAUAUGGUUUUUCCAUGCCCUUGGACAAUUAAAUAACCUUAUCUUUUGUCCUUGUUGUUAUAGUGUACUAUGGACAUUGAACCAUGGCGGCAGGGAGAAUGCAUCAAGUGCGGUGUCCCAUUAUGUUUCCCAGAAUUCCUUUCCUAUCACUUUUCCUCAUGCUUAAUCAUCUCCUAAUUCAUUUUAGCUUCACUAAUUAGGCUGGUUUAAACAUUAAGUCAGACAUGGCAGGAGUGUUUCAGGGAUUUAAUGGCGUGAACAACAUCCUGUAGGAUUCCUUUAAAGCAAUGUGUAACCAUUUGACAAAAUACUGCCAUUCAUGAAGUCCCACAGUGAGAACUCUGAAGACAAGUAAACAAAUUCUAAAAGCCAAUUUUAUGCCACUUUUUCAUUUAUCUAUUCUUUGUGUGUGAAAGACAAUGUGUAUGGCAUGAUAUGCAUGUGGAUGUCACAGGGCUACUCGGGGAAGUCAGUGCUCUUUUUCUAUAACGUGGACUCCAGGAAUGAAACUCAGGUCAUGAAGCUGGAAGGCCUCAGAGCAACCUACAAUCAUUAUAAUGUUUUAAGUUUAGAAUCCUGUGUGGAUAUGCAUUCACAGCUAUCUUGCCUUGGUCACCAUUUUCAAAUUUAUCAUAAUUGACUACGAACUCCACAACGACCCGAGUCCACUACGGUGCUUCUGAGAAUCUGCCCCAAUUUGAAAACCCAAAGUUCCAUUAAUUUAAUUCUGAAGAUAGGUUAAUCAAAAUAGAUUUGUUUAUAAACCUCACUUUUGUUCUUAUGUAAAGUUUGUUCCCCAUAGAAGAGUUCCAGAAAAAAAAUCAGUACAACCGUUGGUUUUUCUCACACACAUGAGAAGAAAUAUUUUUGUGUGUCUCUGUAUCUCUGUGUGUGUGUGUGUGUCUGUCUGUCUGUCUCUGUAUGUCUCUCUCUCUGUCUCUCUCUGACACACACGCACACACACACACACACACACACACACACACACACACACACAGAUAUUUGCAAGAAGUCUGUUAAAGCUAAGUAUACAAUUCUGUAUCCCAGGGUUCCUAAUCCAUGAAUCUCCAUGAUAAUUAUAUGUAAUCAACUCUCUAAAAGGCUUAAAAGCAAAAGAUAUAUAAACAAAGCUUUUACUUACCCCUAAUUUGAUUCCUGGCUAGCCAGCAGGACUCUAUAGUCUAUGGUUAUUAUCCACGUGUAUUUUCAUUUAAAGCAUGCCAGCUGGGGCUACUUCUCAUUUGAGAAUUCUAACAGCUGUCCCAGUGGAAAAUAAAAGCAUGCCACUUUAAAUUUUAGAACGGGACCAAAGAAAUGUCAGAUUCCUACCUCAGAUGCACAAUGACACACAUUAUAUUUGACCUGAACACUUCCUAUCAAUUCAUGUUCAUGAGAAAAUUACACUUUGGAUUUACUUGAUUCCUGUUCUUUAUCCAAUUUCUUACAUAAAGAGGCAAUUUGAUCUUCUUUUCAAUGGCCACUGUAUAAAUAUAUUCAACACCGGCAUGCUAAUAUCUUGAAAGCUGGAUGGUAUUUUUGAAAUGCCAGCUAUGAUAUUCCCUUCUCUCUUCUUACACCACAGAAUAUUGCAAUCUAAUCAAUUUUAAUUAGUUGUACUGGGUCUCGUCUAAAACACAUCAGACUUCACCAGUGACAUAUUUAAAAUGAGAUUUAAAUAAGAUUUUCCCCGUAUAAAAUUCUGAGGCCUAGCCAUAUAGCUGUCAUAAGGUUUUAUUCUCUUUGUCCUAUUGACCUUGGGAGCAUAUUAAAAAUAUCUCCUAUUUAUCUAUGUGACGAAGUGGGUUACUUUAACUUUUAACAGUACUUUACAGGAUUUAUCACAGACCUCUAAAUACUCAAUUUCUGAUUUGUAUGAGUUUUAAUUGGGGAAUGAGCUUUAUCCUUUUCUUCUUUAAGAUGCAAUUUUGUUGUGCAAUAUCAACAAAGACAAGAAAGGAAGGCAUUUGGUUGGGUUCUAACAUUGCAUGCAGCUGUGUUGAAAUUUAUGCUUUAAGAGGAAAGCAUAUACUUCUAUAGUUUCAGCAGACAUCCUAUUCUUGGUGAUAUAAGAUAAACUUCUACGAUGAAUACAGACAGCGGUGAGGAGAUGUCUUAAUGGCUAAAAUGACUGACACAUUAUGAACAGGACCAAUAUCAGCAUAAAUGUUUGAUGGGCUUGGCAGCCCACUUGCCUCAGAGGGUAAAAACAAGAGAUUCUGUAGCAAGAGAACUAGUAUGUCUAGCUCAAACUGGUGAGCUCCAGAUUUGAAUGAGAGAACAAAUAGCAGAAUAGCUGAACACACAUGUUUGCUUACAGGUGAAGAGGAACAUCAUCAUUCAUGGGCUACAGAUGAGCAUACAUGAGAAAAUGAGAAAUGUAAAAAAUUAAAGAAGACAACAAAAACUUAAAUAUGACAAAAAGAACACAAAUGAGAAAUUAGCAUGAAACCUGUUUAGAAAAAUUUUCAGAUAGAAAACUAUCUGAAUUUGGUCUAGGCAAUAAAUAUUACUAUGUAUUUAUAAAAAAAUUACAACUUAGUUAAAGCAAGUGAAUAUUUCUAGCACAAAAAUGGCAUAUCCAAUGAUAUGCAACAUUCAUAAGAAAUAAAAUAGUCAUUGUAGUCUAGAGUAGAGUCAACAACUCCAAACAGUUGCCUCAAUUGUAAAUAAAAUUUUAUUUGAACAGGAUCAUGUUUGUUUAUUUAUUUAUUUAUUUAUUUUUGAAUUCACUAUGACUUUUGCGCUACAAACCCAAGACUAAGAAAGGGAGAUCAUCAUGUUUGUGAAGACUAAAUUAUUUACUAUCUGGAAUUUUAAAAACAGAAAAAAUUAUUUUCAAUGCUUGAGCAUAAGAUGCACAUUGGACCAAGAAAACCAAAAUAUCAUGGGUAAUUAUAGAGCAAAUACUUUGAAUUUUCUUUGGCUAGUUUUCGGCAUGUGACCAAAUGUCUGGUCAUUGAGAAGACUAAGACAUUUGUGCAAUUUCUGAAUCACACAUUUAACUAGGAAGCAUGUGAUCAUCUGUUUCUUUAUUUUACUUACCUCUUAGGCAGCAUUUAGCCAUAUUUGGAAGAAUUGCUUUGGGGUUAAAUUUUGGAGCUAGUAACAAUGCUGGAUAUAAAUUAUAUAUCUCUGACCAAAAAGCUGAGAAAGGCACGAUACAUUUCAUCCUUCAUUCAUUUAGCAGGUUAGAGGUGAUUAUUAUCAAUCAACAUACACUAUGUGCAAUAUAGCUUUUCAAUGUAAAGGUACAAUUAUGACAUUCAAAGACAUUCAAAGAGAGAAAUCAUCAACAAAAGAACCAUAUCCAUAUGUACCCCAAGACUCAUAAGUAGUAAGAGAAUGAUGCUCCAACCAGAAAACUACCAUUGGCAGGAAACACUUCUUAAUUAUGAAAGAAUUAGAUAACUGGGUGGAGGUGACACUCCCAGCUCUGUUAGUAUACAGGCCAUAACUGUGAUACUAGGGUACUAAAAUUGGGGGGCUAACGGAUUUCACCACAUAACCACAGGGAUCAUCAGAGAUUUUUACAAAUUAGUUCUUUACCAAGAAUGACAGGAAUAGCUGAGAAUUUUGUUUUCAUGUGUUUACAUAAGGAAUAGA
Long non-coding RNA from Mesocricetus auratus (golden hamster), 4210 nucleotides. RefSeq lists it as uncharacterized. The transcript is spliced from 3 exons. NCBI's taxonomy places the organism in Eukaryota, Metazoa, Chordata, Mammalia, Rodentia, Cricetidae. The record is from RefSeq and is a predicted model, not a curated record.